Passer domesticus (house sparrow) is the source of this 815-nucleotide long non-coding RNA. RefSeq lists it as uncharacterized. The transcript has 3 exons. The record is from RefSeq and is a predicted model, not a curated record. Lineage: Eukaryota; Metazoa; Chordata; Aves; Passeriformes; Passeridae.
AGAAAAUCAAAAGGUCCCAAGAAAAGUAAAACCCAGCUCUCCACAAGGAAAUGCUGUUGGAGGCUGGCAGCAAUUUCCCACCUGUGGCUAGAGCCCCCCACGGGCACAGCCCAGCCCCUGCAGCAGUGACCCCGCGGAAGAACGGGCGGAUUGUCUUUCAAACGGAGCCGAUGUGGAGCUGAAUGUCCCUUGCCACCUUGGCUAUAAAUCAUCCUGCAUGUGAUAAGGAUUUAACUCCACCAAGCCACCCUCCUUCCCCCCAGCCUUACCUUGUCCCUGUCCUUGGAUGCUUCCGUGGCAGAGCGCAGCAAUUUCAGCAGCAGCAGAUCAGAAAGCUCCUCCUGGAAGCUGGGUCCCAUGGUUUCCCUGGCAGAGAACCACCCUGUGAGCACCCCCUGGGCUGCUCCAUCCCCACAGAUGUGAUAGCACCCUUUAUAAAGCCCAUGAACAACCUUCACUCUUUAGAGGGCUAAUAUGUAAGGCAGACCUUUCUGCAUGUGACCACUACGUUUAUUAAUUUAAAACCAAACUAUCAAUGCAAGAAAGCUGGUUAGCAAUGGUUAAAUCUGUAAUAAAAAACAGAGGGCAAGGAAUUGCUCAGGGGCAAUUCUGCAGCAGGAAUAUAUAAGAACUAUUUUCCUGUUAAAAAUGUAACAGUAGGUUAGGCUUCCCUCAGUCUCUGGCUUGAGGAAGGGUUAAAUAUUUAUUAAUUUUACUUGUGCUAUGUUGAAAGUAAACCAUGUCUACACCAAGCAACACAAAAGAAAUGGAAAACUGAAAAGUGAAAAGUUUUAAAGAGUGUCUCCUUAGAGUGA